This 497-nucleotide ribosomal RNA is filed under the name uncultured bacterium. Its description in RNAcentral is "partial 16S ribosomal RNA". It matches the Rfam family "Bacterial small subunit ribosomal RNA", at positions 30 to 523 of the family's 1533-position model. The record is from RNAcentral.
AUUGAACGCUGGCGGAAUGCUUUACACAUGCAAGUCGAACGGCAGCACGGGGCAACCUGUGGCGAGUGGCGAACGGGUGAGUAAUACAUCGGAACGUGCCCAAUCGUGGGGGAUAACGUAGCGAAAGUUACGCUAAUACCGCAUACGAUCUACGGAUGAAAGCGGGGGAUCGCAAGACCUCGCGCGAAUGGAGCGGCCGAUGUCAGAUUAGGUAGUUGGUGGGGUAAAGGCUCACCAAGCCAACGAUCUGUAGCUGGUCUGAGAGGACGACCAGCCACACUGGGACUGAGACACGGCCCAGACUCCUACGGGAGGCAGCAGUGGGGAAUUUUGGACAAUGGGCGCAAGCCUGAUCCAGCCAUUCCGCGUGCAGGAUGAAGGCCUUCGGGUUGUAAACUGCUUUUGUACGGAACGAAACGGCUCUCUCUAAUACAGGGGGCUAAUGACGGUACCGUAAGAAUAAGCACCGGCUAACUACGUGCCAGCAGCCGCGGUAA